This 253-nucleotide ribosomal RNA is filed under the name uncultured bacterium. RNAcentral's name for it is "partial 16S ribosomal RNA". It matches the Rfam family "Bacterial small subunit ribosomal RNA", at positions 524 to 776 of the family's 1533-position model. The record is from RNAcentral.
UACGUAGGGUGCGAGCGUUGUCCGGAAUUAUUGGGCGUAAAGAGCUCGUAGGUGGCGGGUCACGUCGGGUGUGAAAGCCCGGGGCUUAACUCCGGGUCUGCAUUCGAUACGGGUCUGCUGGGGUCCGGCAGGGGAGACUGGAAUUCCUGGUGUAGCGGUGAAAUGCGCAGAUAUCAGGAGGAACACCGGUGGCGAAGGCGGGUCUCUGGGCCGGUACCGACGCUGAGGAGCGAAAGCGUGGGGAGCGAACAGG